RNAcentral lists this unclassified non-coding RNA (353 nucleotides) under soil metagenome. Its description in RNAcentral is "partial contains 5.8S ribosomal RNA, internal transcribed spacer 2, and large subunit ribosomal RNA". The stretch from base 1 to 120 matches the Rfam family "5.8S ribosomal RNA", at positions 35 to 154 of the family's 154-position model. The record is from RNAcentral.
GAUGAAGAACUUAGUGAAAUGCGAUAAGUAAUGUGAAUUGCAGAAUUCAGUGAAUCAUCGAAUCUUUGAACGCACAUUGCGCCCGCCAGUAUUCUGGCGGGCAUGCCUGUUCGAGCGUCAUUACAACCCUCAGGCCCCCGGGCCUGGCGUUGGGGAUCGGCGGAAGCCCCCUGCGGGCACAACGCCGUCCCCCAAAUACAGUGGCGGUCCCGCCGCAGCUUCCAUUGCGUAGUAGCUAACACCUCGCAACUGGAGAGCGGCGCGGCCACGCCGUAAAACACCCAACUUCUGAAUGUUGACCUCGAAUCAGGUAGGAAUACCCGCUGAACUUAAGCAUAUCAAUAAGCGGAGGA